This is an RNA transcript of Hypanus sabinus (Atlantic stingray), 4751 nucleotides long. RefSeq lists it as uncharacterized. The record is from RefSeq and is a predicted model, not a curated record. Lineage: Eukaryota; Metazoa; Chordata; Chondrichthyes; Myliobatiformes; Dasyatidae. The transcript is spliced from 5 exons.
CGGUCCGGUCAGCCCCGGGCGGCAAGGACGAAGUGGGCAGACAGAUGGGGAUUUAAGCUUUCAAUAGCUAAAACUCAAAACAUAUUUCACAAGAAGGAUUAAUAGACCUGCACUUGAAUGGAAAUUAUAUAGUAGGUUACUUGAACUGUCGGCGGUCACAUAUUACAGCACUUUGCCAGCAACAGAUGAGGAAUUAACAGGACUUCAGUUACCCACUCUUUGUCUUCCACCCUUCAACAAUGGAGUCACAUUUCAGGUUUUCCAACUCACUGGGAUCUUCCUGGAACACACACUAACUCGACAUUUUCCUGGACUGGAAGGUAGAGGGAGUCGGAGACUGAGAUUUCGUUAGCUGCAGCCUGGCAAUGUCUUAAGAGAUCCGUCUGCUCUCAUUUACUGUACCUGUGUUUCCAAAGACCACCUACAAAAGUUGGGAACGUGUUAGUAGUGUUAUCCAUGGCUGUCUCUCUACCCAGAAACCCCCACGAGGGAAGAGACCCGUCUAUCCUGCCACUGUUGCAGCGAUGCGCAUGCGUCGCAGAGAUGACGGCAAACCUUCACUCAUCAGCAGAAACCUGGGACAGAGAAAUCGAAUAAACAGAGACCGUCUCGGAGUGCAGGGCUACGGUGUGUCCAGCCUCACAGCAGUAGUCUCGCAGUUUCGCUGCGCACGCCAAUAACAAUGAAACCCCCAACCGGAAUCUCGUUCUUACCUGCUACCGAUUUUAAGACCCUUUUCUCACUGAGCGCAUGCGCGAAUUCGGAGCCUGUCUGCGACCCUUACGGCUGCGCAUUUAAUUGUUGGAGCUCGCCGGCGAAUUGGGCAUCGCGAAGGUUACUGGAGAAAAUGAGACUACAGUGUAUGAGCCUUCCACGAAGAACACGAAUCAUUCCUGCAGUCACUUUGGUAUUCGGUGCCAUGAGAUGAAUAUUGAGCUAUUGCAACAGCUGUUUGUAGGAUCUGAUCCACCCAGUGGCCGACCGUACAUCCUUAGCCCUCCCUCGGCUGUCACUCAAGUUGGCCUGGGACACGGUUCCCACUGCGAGGCUGCAUGCAGCUCCUGGUGGCCUCUCGUCAGUUGGUCAUUCUGUAGAUGGGCUCACCUAUGUCCAGGUGUAGAGGAUGAUGGUAGUUAUUGUGGUGGCCGCACCACCAAAGUCAGUCCCACUCAUCCUAACAACCAACACCGUCAGCUAUGGCCGCACUCCAGCUUCCCAUGUGAGGUCCAGCGUCGUAGGAUACCAGCAGACUGGAUUCGGGACUAGUGAAGCCAUCAUCAGUUCCCUGCAACCAGGCCAUCCGGCCGACAGAGCCAUCUCACAGGACUUCUCGUCACUGCUGCUGAAGAACAUUCCCCAUAGCAUGAUGUUACAUGCACCAUAUUUUGCUGUACAGAUGAGAUCGCCUGGCUGAUGCGCAGUUUUAGAUUUAACUCACACACAAUUUUUUUUUAAAAAAACUACCAUUGUUCGUAAAUAUUCUGCAAAGUACCACGUAAGAGAUAUCGAAAAUAUGCCGAAUAAGGAGUUAUGUUCCAAUGAGACAAAAGUGGAUUGUUUUGGCUUCAAUGCUAAGCGGUACGUCUGAAGUAAAUCUGAUACUGUGCCAGGUAAAUUCAUUUAGCCAGGUACCACCACUCCUACUAUAAAGUAUAGUGGAGCGAGCAUGAUGCUAUUGGGAUGCUUUUCUGCAGCAGCAGGUACUGAAGAUCUUGCCGGGAUUGAUGGGAAAAUCAUUACCGAUAAAUAUAGAGAGAUCCUGGAUAAAAAUCUGAUAGCCUCUGCAGGAAAGCUUCAGCUGGGGAGAAAGCUUGACUUUCAGCAGGACAACGACCCGAAGAACGCUGUCAGAUCAACCAUGGAGUGACUUCAAAUGAGGAAAACUGAUGAGCAUGAGUGGCCGAGCCAGAGUCCUGACCCUAACCUGAUUGAUCAUAUCAGGCAGAAAGUCAAGAUUGCUGUCCUCCACUGCUGCCCAACUAACUUACCACAACUUGUAAAAAUGGGUAAGUCUUACUCCACCAGUUUAUGCGAAGCAAAUAGUGAAUUGUCCACAGAGCCAACUGACUGAAAAUCUGCGAAUGGUGGUUCAACCUAGUACUAAGGAAAAGAGGAGUUUUCAACUGCUAACAGGUAGUUUUUCGUUUUUAGUUGCAAUCAAUUUUUAGUUUUUCAUACUUUACAAUUUUGUUUGGCUCCACAGUGAAAAAAGGGAACAUGUGAUUCACAAAUAAAACUUCUCAAGUUAAAUAUAUCAACAUCACUGGCUGUAAUACUCAUUCAUGUGCAUAAAUAGUUGGUGCUCAAUACUUUUACAAAACACUGUUUGGAAAAAGCUGUCAGCUGAAGUGGGAGAUGUCCAUACGACUAAAACUCUUGGGCAGAUAAAUGGAUAGGAGAAAUUCAGAGGGAUGUGGAUCAAAUUCAGGCAACUUCUACGAAUGCAUGUUGGAAGCUUCAAAAGCAUUUGCGAGUUGGGCCGAAGGGCCAGUUUCCAUACUGUUCUCAAUGAGGGAGAGGGAACAGUCCAGAGAGAAAGACGUAGAGUAGAUGGUUACAGAGAGGUGGUGAGGGAUGAAUUGAAUGAAAAGGAGGGAAGGUGACAGAUGACAGCCUGAGUAGACUGUCUGUGAGGGUGCGAAGGUAAGGGAUUCCAGGUAGGGAAAAUCGAGGUCCUUGAUGAACGAGUGGGGAAUGUAAGUGGGUGCAGGACGUGGGAGAGACAGAAUUUCAACAGUAAUGCUCAAUACAAAUUUCCGUCUUUAUCAGGAGUCUCUGAUGGGGCGGCGGUGAGGGUAAUCCCCUCGUAACAAGGGUCACUGAUGGAUGAGAGAUCUCCUUUUGAACAGGGUUGAAAUAUACUUUUUCCAACGAUCCUUAAUGAGGGAGGGAAACUCUCUAGCCUGAAGCGAAGACUCCAGCUUUAAAAAGGAGUUUUUCAUGGGGAAGAGACUUCCACUUUAACAGACAUUUCCUAUCCACCUUUCCAUGGAGGAGAUUAGCCCUCUACAACAGGGUGUGUUGACGUGGGAGAGAUUCCAGUUUCAGAGGCGUCGCGGCUGUGAGGAGAUUCGUCAUCACAACGUUCCCUGAAAGGGUGAGAGAUUCCCUUUCAAACAGGGGUCCCUGAUGGUGGAAACAUGCUCUUUCACAGAGGUCCGCAUGGGAGAGGGACAUUCAUCAACAGCUGUCUCGGUUGUAGAUGUGUCUCCAUCUUUAACAGGAGUUUCAGGUGGCGUCGAGGCUCCAUUUGCAGCACGGCUGUCUGAUCGGAGAGGGACUGCAAUAGGCAGGCGCUCAUGAUGGGGUGGGGAGACUUUUUAGCCAGGGUCAUGAGAAGGGAGUGUCUCACCAUUUACCAGGCACCAGUGAAGGAUAAAGAAACUCCCUCUUUAAAAGGGUUCCUGAUGGAUAAUGACUUAAUUGGUUCAUGAAUGUUCAGUGAAAAAGUUUGUUAUGCAUGCCAUCCAUGAAGAUAACUUUAUUCCCUCAGCACAUCGGGGCAGCACAAAGGUAAACAAUAACAAAAUACGGACUGGUGUUACAUUUACAGAAAACAGAUGUUCCAUAUUGUGACGUCUCUCUCAAUGACGUCACAGAGCUGCCACACCCUGCCAUUCAAAUGGUGUACAGGAUAGACAUUGUGACGUCAGCUUCCUCACUGUCACGUCAUGGAGAUAACACAAAUUACCGUUGAGGUGAUAAUGGAGACGUGGAUUGUGACGUUAAUGUUGAGAGAUCUCCCUCACUGUGGCGUCACAGAGCUGUUCCAGACGGCCGUUGUCGGAAUGUGAGGAUUAGACAUUCACCUGCUGAGCAGAUAGAGCAUCCGUCUGCAUAACCUCCUGGCCAAACGGAAGUCUAGACUUUUUUUGAGUAAAUCAGAAAAGCUCUGGAUAUAUAUUUUUAAAAAAUCGUCAUGAGUAAACAUUGGGAAGCUAAGGAUGUCGCAGAAAUGACGAGGGGAGUCUCGGAGGGCAGGGAACACGAGGCUUAGUGGUUGGGAGACCAGACACAGAGAGAUCACAGAGAGGUCCCCUACAAGAAAGGAGUGUGAUCUGUUGGACAGCAACGUGUCGGAAGUCAUGGGGUAAUUCGUGGGCUUAAACUACAUUGGGGUAAAUGUCACGGUCAAGUGGUCAACGAUGACUCAAUGUCAGUGAGUCUAUCCACUCCACUAUCCGCCACGACAAGCCAUCAAACACAUCAACUCCCUGGAUGCCUACCAUCACUUGGGAUCGUGCGUCGAGCACACCGUCCUCCCAGUCCUCUGGGACCGAGUGUCAGUAGAAUUAUCCUCUACAGUCGGAAAGAUCAUAGGGCCAAACACAGAGAUGAACCCCCUCCACGCAGUCCAAUAGCACAUGCCUGGCGUCAGAAGCAAAGUGAAGCUUUCACCACACCGCCCCGUCACUCAGUCUACGGGUCGGACUCACACUGAACUUGAAAUAAUUCAGAAAACGUGUUGCUCGGUUGAGUUGUUCUUCCAGCUUGGUAAUCCAUUAGCAAACGUUUCGUUGCCAGACGAAGAGGCAUCAUUAUGAUGGUGACGGAGCGUCCGUAAAAGGAUAGCCAAACUCGGAGAACAACUCAACCCAACCAUUAACUACCCGCGCUGCACAUUUUCCCAGUUAUUUCCAACAACUUCGGGUUGUUGAUGAUGUCCCCUCGUAUAGUGACAAAACGUUUGCAAAUAGAUUUCCAAGCUCGAAGGACAACUCACCCCGAUAUACUGAUUUCCUUCUGUUCUU